UGGGGAAUAUUGCACAAUGGGCGCAAGCCUGAUGCAGCCAUGCCGCGUGUGUGAAGAAGGCCUUCGGGUUGUAAAGCACUUUCAGCGAGGAGGAAGGGUAGUGUGUUAAUAGCACAUUGCAUUGACGUUACUCGCAGAAGAAGCACCGGCUAACUCCGUGCCAGCAGCCGCGGUAAUACGGAGGGUGCAAGCGUUAAUCGGAAUUACUGGGCGUAAAGCGCACGCAGGCGGUUUGUUAAGUCAGAUGUGAAAUCCCCGCGCUUAACGUGGGAACUGCAUUUGAAACUGGCAAGCUAGAGUCUUGUAGAGGGGGGUAGAAUUCCAGGUGUAGCGGUGAAAUUCGUAGAGAUCUGGAGGAAUACCGGUGGCGAAGGCGGCCCCCUGGACAAAGACUGACGCUCAGGUGCGAAAGCGUGGGGAGCAAACA
Molecule: ribosomal RNA, 427 nt
Filed under: uncultured bacterium
Lineage: Bacteria
Description: partial 16S ribosomal RNA
Rfam family: Bacterial small subunit ribosomal RNA
Source: RNAcentral